CAGGAUACAGGUAGGUUUUUUUUUUGUUGGAGCUAAACUCUGCAGGGACACAGGCUCUCCAAGAUCAACGUUCCCCACCCCUGUUGUAGAUGAUCAUAUUUCCACAGGUUGGCUCUAGCCUUGUUGCAGUUUCCACUCCCUGGAAGAUCAACAAGCACAAUGUGUUCCAGAAGUUCACGACAGUCUGGAAUCUUGAUUUUCACACUCUUCACCAGCGGCCAGUACCAGUGACCAGUUCUUGAUGUGUUGUGUUCCCUAUGUGACGAGAGGGGUGGGAUCGAGAGCCAUAAGAAUAGGUCGAGGCUGGUGGAGUGAAUGAUAAUGAGCGACAUCUGCACAAUUCACCUGUCUCGAGUUCCACGGAGGAGCUCCAGAAGGAUAAAAGGAGGAAUGACUACAGCUUCAGGAUAAGAGAGGACCAGGCCUGGACUAUUUACAUUGUUGCUGUUUUUUAAACUUUAGUUUUGUGUUUGUUUAUUUGAUUAUUAAAGUUUUGUUUAAAUAUUCCCUAACUCAUUUUUCCCAUAGCUACGAACUUUGUUACAUCCUAAUUUUCUGAAAUUAUUAUUUUUUUUUACACAAUUUAAUGGAACAGUUAGAAAUGGACUUAUUCAUGAAUUACUUGCCUGUUGUCAGUUGUAGCUGUGAACUGUGAAACCUGUUACUUGAAUCUGAUUGAUCCUCAUCACGUUUUCUCUUCAUACCUAUUAAAGAAUCAAAAAAAAA
This is a long non-coding RNA of Carassius gibelio (silver crucian carp), 726 nucleotides long. RefSeq lists it as uncharacterized. The record is from RefSeq and is a predicted model, not a curated record. The transcript is spliced from 3 exons. NCBI's taxonomy places the organism in Eukaryota, Metazoa, Chordata, Actinopteri, Cypriniformes, Cyprinidae.